AGGCCUAACACAUGCAAGUCGAACGAGACCUUCGGGUCUAGUGGCGCACGGGUGCGUAACGCGUGGGAAUCUGCCCUUGGGUUCGGAAUAACAGCGAGAAAUUGCUGCUAAUACCGGAUGAUGACGUAAGUCCAAAGAUUUAUCGCCCAAGGAUGAGCCCGCGUAAGAUUAGGUAGUUGGUGAGGUAAAGGCUCACCAAGCCGACGAUCUUUAGCUGGUCUGAGAGGAUGAUCAGCCACACUGGGACUGAGACACGGCCCAGACUCCUACGGGAGGCAGCAGUAGGGAAUAUUGGGCAAU
Molecule: ribosomal RNA, 300 nt
Filed under: uncultured bacterium
Lineage: Bacteria
Description: bacterial SSU rRNA
Rfam family: Bacterial small subunit ribosomal RNA
Source: RNAcentral